GUAGAGAUGGUCGAGAUAGGCGGUGGGUUGUAAUUCCAUUUACGAGGUGCAAGCCCUCUCUUUACA
This 66-nucleotide transfer RNA is filed under the name Diporiphora sobria. RNAcentral's name for it is "tRNA-Tyr". It matches the Rfam family "tRNA". Rfam says of the family: Transfer RNA (tRNA) molecules are approximately 80 nucleotides in length. Their secondary structure includes four short double-helical elements and three loops (D, anti-codon, and T loops). Lineage: Eukaryota; Metazoa; Chordata; Lepidosauria; Squamata; Agamidae. The record is from RNAcentral.